RNAcentral lists this ribosomal RNA (433 nucleotides) under uncultured bacterium. Its description in RNAcentral is "partial 16S ribosomal RNA". It matches the Rfam family "Bacterial small subunit ribosomal RNA", at positions 29 to 507 of the family's 1533-position model. The record is from RNAcentral.
AACGAACGCUGGCGGCAUGCCUAACACAUGCAAGUCGAACGAGACCUUCGGGUCUAGUGGCGCACGGGUGCGUAACGCGUGGGAACCUGCCCUUAGGUUCGGAAUAACUCCCCGAAAGGGGUGCUAAUACCGGAUAAUGUCUUCGGACCAAAGAUUUAUUGCCUUUGGAGGGGCCCGCGUUGGAUUAGCUAGUUGGUAGGGUAAAAGCCUACUAAGGCGACGAUCCAUAGCUGGUUUGAGAGGAUGAUAAGCCACACUGGGACUGAGACACGGCCCAGACUCCUACGGGAGGCAGCAGUGGGGAAUAUUGGACAAGGGGCGAAAGCCUGAUCCAGCAAUGCCGCGUGAGUGAUGAAGGCCUUGGGGUUGUAAAGCUCUUUUACCCGGGAUGAUAAUGACAGUACCGGGAGAAUAAGCUCCGGCUAACUCCGUG